GGGUGGCAAUGACCCACUAUUUCUUGUUUUCUCAGCAAAUACCUGGUACGAAGGUCGUUAUAUCUGCUGGACUUCUAACAAAACCGGCACAUAUAAGGGUGGAUUUGCACAUAAUAUAACCUACUACAAUGUCACCGAUCCGAAAAGACCGCCUGAGCUUUUGUCAAGGUUCGCCGUUUGGUAUACUUCCGAGUUGGGCAAACGUCCAAUAAUCACUCUCCAGGAUAGCAGUGACAUAGUAUGCGUGUACUUGGUGGCGGAAAGUCAUAUCCACACUAAUGGUACGCGGUGCGACGCUGUAUAUCGACAGAAGUGCAAGAUUGCUAGUGGGGUCAAGUAUUUUUGGCGGAAGAAUUGCACCUGGAAAAAUAUACCAAGGCGACCAAAGUAGCGCUACUUUUUGGCAAAUUUGUGCUUUUCCGCGUUAACAAGCGCAAUAAAUAAAUAAGUCAUUUAUUUUUCCAUAGGUGG
Molecule: non-coding RNA, 471 nt
Organism: Dermacentor andersoni
Lineage: Eukaryota; Metazoa; Arthropoda; Arachnida; Ixodida; Ixodidae
Source: RefSeq, a predicted model, not a curated record